GUUCCCGUAGCACAAUAGGAUAAUGCAGUGCCCUCCUAAGGCAAAGAUUUCCAGUUCGAUUCUGGACGGGAACACCA
RNAcentral lists this transfer RNA (77 nucleotides) under Clostridia bacterium. RNAcentral describes it as "tRNA-Arg". It matches the Rfam family "tRNA". Rfam says of the family: Transfer RNA (tRNA) molecules are approximately 80 nucleotides in length. Their secondary structure includes four short double-helical elements and three loops (D, anti-codon, and T loops). Lineage: Bacteria; Bacillati; Bacillota; Clostridia. The record is from RNAcentral.